AUACGGAGGGUGCAAGCGUUACUCGGAAUCACUGGGCGUAAAGCGCGCGCUGGCGGUCUUUUAAGUUGGAUGUGAAAGCCUACGGCUCAACCGUAGAACUGCAUCCAAAACUAUUAGACUAGAGUGUGGGAGAGGAAGAUGGAAUUAGUUGUGUAGGGGUAAAAUCCGUAGAGAUAACUAGGAAUACCAAAAGCGAAGGCAAUCUUCUGGAACACUACUGACGCUGAGGCGCGAAAGCGUGGGGAGCAAACAGGAUUAGAAACCCUAGUAGUCC
RNAcentral lists this ribosomal RNA (274 nucleotides) under uncultured bacterium. Its description in RNAcentral is "partial 16S ribosomal RNA". It matches the Rfam family "Bacterial small subunit ribosomal RNA", at positions 523 to 796 of the family's 1533-position model. The record is from RNAcentral.